UGAUUUGAAUUUUGGCACACACAGCACC
This 28-nucleotide non-coding RNA is filed under the name Rattus norvegicus (Norway rat). Lineage: Eukaryota; Metazoa; Chordata; Mammalia; Rodentia; Muridae. The record is from RNAcentral.